GCGGGGGCGGGGCCCACAACCUGGGGGAGUGGCUACACUCGCGGGCUCAGAGGACCUGCGGAGGUAGCCUGGAGACGGAGUCCGACCGGAGGUGAGAUUGGUGGGCAAGGGGCGUGACCUGCGCCGACUCGUGGCGGCGCUUGGCCCCGAGUCACCGAGUCUGGCAGGCAGUGUCCCGCUAGGCAAAGCCGCGCCUCCUGGGCUCCUCGCCUCGGGAAUUGAAGGUCAGGCGUUGGGCCAGGCCCGCCAGGCGAGUAGACUCACCUGCCAGGGCACACACCUGAGAGACGAAGAGCUUCCUGACUCGAGGGACGGGGUGUUCAGUUCUGAGGACUCUUGCCCGCAGCGCUGUCACUACACUCAAAGAAAUGUUCUUUUCAUCUCCCCAGGAAAGCUGCCUUCUGUGUCUCCAAAAUCCAUCUCCUUCCAGGUUCCUUGAAUUACUCAAUUUCACUCUGAGGCCCCACAAUGCGUUCAAAUAUUGUAGAAGCCGUCAACUGACAAACCCUGGAAUACCCAACAAUGAGGGAGAGGCAUUUAAAUUGCUAUUAUCCCUGCAGUAGGGUAUAUGUUAGCACUUUAAACGCCAUAUGUUCUAGGAAUUCUCACCAAGAUGAGAAAACGUUCACAAUGUAUCAUUAAGAAAGAAGCAAGAAAAAAAAAAGAAAGCAAGAAACAAAUAUAUAUAGAAUGAUCCCACUUAUGAACCAUAUAUAUGGAGCAAAAAAAUACAUAGACAGUCCUGGAAGAUACAUGCCAAAUAACGGUGGUUCAUCAUUUCACUGUAGAAGGAAAGGAGUAAGACAGGAACAGAAAUGAUGAGGGCUCUUUGGUCACAAUUGAAGCAAAAUGAAGUGAAGAUGGAAGCUUGCAGUGCUUUGAAGUUACAAGUGGAAGCUCAUCUUUGCUUCUAGCUACAUGAAAGAGAGACAAUCUUGUCAAACCUGUGGACUUGAGUACACAUGCAUGCUCUCAUGAGACAAUCAGCACGUAUUCCUGGCUGUGAUUUAGAUGUGGCUUGUCUCUGCCAAAACUCAUGUUGAUAUUUGGUUGCCAAAGCAGAAGGGUUUGGAGAAGGGGCCUUUGGAAGGUGACUGGGUCACUGGGGUACCAUCCUCGUGAGUGGAUUAGUGUUUUUCUCCAGAGGCUAGACUAGAUCUUGUGAGAAAGGAUUCAUUCUUCUGAGAGUGUGUUUCUAUCAAGUGAGCCUGGUGCCUCCCCUCUCUUUCCAGCUUGCUUUUCUCUUGCACACACCCACUUCACCUUCUGUUUUACUCCAGGAGUUGGUACAGAUUAAGGCUCUCCCCAGAUGUGGCCACCUGAUCUUGGUUUUCCCAGCCUCCAGGACCAUGAGCCAAAAUAAACCUCUUUGGUCCAUGAUACCCAGACAUUGAAGAUAUUCAGUUUCAUCCCCUGGAGAAAAAGAAAGAGAACUGAAUAUUUGGAGGGAAAGAAUGUGUUGUUAAAGUCUGAUAACUGAUAAUGAAAUCCUUGUUAUUGUUUUAACAAGUGCAUAGGUUGGAAGAAGACUUCCUUCCAGACCUCGCAGCUUGGACCUCUGCCCUAUUUACAGUUCUUAACUAAGGGUUUCUCCUACCCAGUGAAAUUUUUCCAUGUGUAACUCUAAAGGGUCUUCAGAACAUCUGUCCAGGGCCCUUGGUGGAGAGUGAAUAGCAUUCCAUAACUGUCCCUUUUUGAACCAGUGCCAAAAGUCUCAGCUUUUCCAUGCUGAAUAUGAAAAAGCUUUUUAUGGUGUCAUUAGGAAGGAGAUUCUGGCACCACCAGAAUUAAAAGUCAUGUGGGUGGCAGGGUUUUGAGUCCCUCAACCAAUGUGAUGCAUAUCCCUGUAAUUGUUUUGCAGGGCCUCUAACCAGUAGGUUGGUCUUAUCUCCCUACCUGAGAUAGCUCCCAGGCCCUCUGAUGCUAAUGUGAAGUUGCCUUUACUUUGGGAAAGCAAGGUUAAAUAAGACAGUUUGUAGCCAUGUAACCCCAGCACUCUGGGAGGCUGAGGCAAGAAGAUUGCAAGUUCAGGAAUAGUCUAGGCAUCUUGGCAACCCAGAAAGAAUCUGUCUCAAAAUAAAAAAUAAAACAGGGCUAGAGAUGUAUCUCAGUGUGACAACUCUGUGUUCAAUUCCCAGUACUGCCAAAAACAAACAAACAAAAAGACAAGACACUUGUUCUAUAGCACAUUAGGAUAACUAUGGCUGACAAUAAUUAAUUGUAUAUUUCAAACUACAGUAGUUUAUAGAGAGGAUUUUAAAUGUCACAACACAGAGAAAUUAUAAAUGUUUGAGGCAAUAGUGUUAAACCAAGUACCUUGAUAACAUGUUGUAUGCAUUUAUUGAAAUACUACACCAAAUCCCAUAAAUAUAUACAAUUCAUAUGUGGUAAUUUAAAAAAUAAUUCAUUGAAGGGACUUUCAACAGCUCUUAACUCUAUGUCAAAGGAUAUUCCCAGACAAUAAGAGCUUCACUUAUUAUAAGGGUAGAUUUCAUUGCCCUCUUGCCCAACACAUGCAGGAUUUACAUUCAUCUGAAGACUGGCAUGGCUGGUCAGCCUACCCUUCUCCUGGGUUGUGGGACUAGCAAGUAGGUGGAAGAGAGAGUAGGGGUUCAAGACUUGGGGGAAUUCUUCAAGGUGUGACCUUAAAUAAGGGACAGCUACACAGGAGCAUUUUUUCCUGAUCUUAAGGCAGUCUACACUCCAACUGAUGCUUGAAGGAUCAGCAAUUCCUGUUAUACAGGGGAGAUACUCAUUUUGGG
This 2762-nucleotide long non-coding RNA is filed under the name Heterocephalus glaber (naked mole-rat). RNAcentral describes it as "lncRNA (ENSHGLG00000050473.1)". Lineage: Eukaryota; Metazoa; Chordata; Mammalia; Rodentia; Bathyergidae. The record is from RNAcentral.